UACGUAGGGUGCGAGCGUUGUCCGGAAUUACUGGGCGUAAAGAGCUCGUAGGUGGUUUGUCGCGUUGGUCGUGAAAUCUCACGGCUUAACUGUGAGCGUGCGGGCGAUACGGGCAGACUAGAGUACUGCAGGGGAGACUGGAAUUCCUGGUGUAGCGGUGGAAUGCGCAGAUAUCAGGAGGAACACCGGUGGCGAAGGCGGGUCUCUGGGCAGUAACUGACGCUGAGGAGCGAAAGCGUGGGGAGCGAACAGG
RNAcentral lists this ribosomal RNA (253 nucleotides) under uncultured bacterium. Its description in RNAcentral is "partial 16S ribosomal RNA". It matches the Rfam family "Bacterial small subunit ribosomal RNA", at positions 524 to 776 of the family's 1533-position model. The record is from RNAcentral.